CAGGGUACUCGAGUGGCGAACGGGUGAGUAACACGUGGGUGAUCUGCCCUGCACUUCGGGAUAAGCUUGGGAAACUGGGUCUAAUACCGGAUAGGACCGCACUUUAGUGUGUGUGGUGGAAAGUUUUUUCGGUGUAGGAUGAGCCCGCGGCCUAUCAGCUUGUUGGUGGGGUAAUGGCCUACCAAGGCGGCGACGGGUAGCCGGACUGAGAGGUUGGUCGGCCACAUUGGGACUGAGAUACGGCCCAG
RNAcentral lists this ribosomal RNA (248 nucleotides) under uncultured Actinomycetales bacterium. RNAcentral's name for it is "partial 16S ribosomal RNA". It matches the Rfam family "Bacterial small subunit ribosomal RNA", at positions 83 to 334 of the family's 1533-position model. Lineage: Bacteria; Bacillati; Actinomycetota; Actinomycetes; Actinomycetales. The record is from RNAcentral.